UGGGAAUGAGUCUCCCUGCUUCUUGGCUC
Molecule: non-coding RNA, 29 nt
Filed under: Homo sapiens (human)
Lineage: Eukaryota; Metazoa; Chordata; Mammalia; Primates; Hominidae
Source: RNAcentral